Molecule: small nuclear RNA, 120 nt
Filed under: Ixodes scapularis (black-legged tick)
Lineage: Eukaryota; Metazoa; Arthropoda; Arachnida; Ixodida; Ixodidae
Description: U5 spliceosomal RNA
Rfam family: U5 spliceosomal RNA
About the family: U5 RNA is a component of both types of known spliceosome. The precise function of this molecule is unknown, though it is known that the 5' loop is required for splice site selection and p220 binding, and that both the 3' stem-loop and the Sm site are important for Sm protein binding and cap methylation.
Source: Rfam by way of RNAcentral
CAGCUCAGGCCCCUCUUCUGAUAAGUGCUAAUCUUUCGCCUUUUACUAAAGAUUACCGUGGGGAGGGGCCAAUGAGCCUCUAGGCCUAUUUUUGGGAGGCCGCUACCGUAUGGUAGAGGC